RNAcentral lists this long non-coding RNA (263 nucleotides) under Physcomitrium patens. RNAcentral's name for it is "long non-coding RNA (PPAT_LNC011473)". Lineage: Eukaryota; Viridiplantae; Streptophyta; Bryopsida; Funariales; Funariaceae. The record is from RNAcentral.
UAUAAGAAUAAAUAUCUAAUAUUUCUCAAGACAAGUACAAGAAAGGACUUCAGAACAAAAAAGACAUUAAAAAUAAUAUUAGUUUAGAAGAAGGUAAUCCACAACUUCUAAUAUUCUUAUAUCUUAUCAAAAAAAAGAGAUAAUCCACUUUUAAUCAAGAGAAGACUAAGCUCUAAUAUUAUAAGUAUACUAUUAUCAAUUUGUCAAGGACAUGAAUUGAAAGAAGAUGCAUAAACUUGGAAAAUUUGUAUCAAAUAAAAAGU